This 449-nucleotide ribosomal RNA is filed under the name uncultured bacterium. RNAcentral's name for it is "bacterial SSU rRNA". It matches the Rfam family "Bacterial small subunit ribosomal RNA", at positions 29 to 524 of the family's 1533-position model. The record is from RNAcentral.
AACGAACGCUGGCGGCAUGCCUAACACAUGCAAGUCGAACGAGACCUUCGGGUCUAGUGGCGCACGGGUGCGUAACGCGUGGGAAUCUGCCCUUGGGUUCGGAAUAACAGCGAGAAAUUGCUGCUAAUACCGGAUGAUGACGUAAGUCCAAAGAUUUAUCGCCCAAGGAUGAGCCCGCGUAGGAUUAGCUAGUUGGUGAGGUAAAGGCUCACCAAGGCGACGAUCCUUAGCUGGUCUGAGAGGAUGAUCAGCCACACUGGGACUGAGACACGGCCCAGACUCCUACGGGAGGCAGCAGUGGGGAAUAUUGGACAAUGGGCGAAAGCCUGAUCCAGCAAUGCCGCGUGAGUGAUGAAGGCCUUAGGGUGUAAAGCUCUUUUACCCGGGAUGAUAAUGACAGUACCGGGAGAAUAAGCUCCGGCUAACUCCGUGCCAGCAGCCGCGGUAAU